UGGGGAAUUUUGGACAAUGGGCGAAAGCCUGAUCCAGCAAUGCCGCGUGUGUGAAGAAGGCCUUCGGGUUGUAAAGCACUUUUGUCCGGAAAGAAAUCCUUGGCUCUAAUACAGUCGGGGGAUGACGGUACCGGAAGAAUAAGCACCGGCUAACUACGUGCCAGCAGCCGCGGUAAUACGUAGGGUGCAAGCGUUAAUCGGAAUUACUGGGCGUAAAGCGUGCGCAGGCGGUUUGCUAAGACCGAUGUGAAAUCCCCGGGCUCAACCUGGGAACUGCAUUGGUGACUGGUAGGCUAGAGUAUGGCAGAGGGGGGUAGAAUUCCACGUGUAGCAGUGAAAUGCGUAGAGAUGUGGAGGAAUACCGAUGGCGAAGGCAGCCCCCUGGGCCAAUACUGACGCUCAUGCACGAAAGCGUGGGGGAGCAAAACAGGAUUAGAUACCCUGGUAGUCCACGCCCUAAACGAUGUCAACUAGUUGUUGGGGAUUCAUUUCCUUAGUAACGUAGCUAACGCGUGAAGUUGACCGCCUGGGGAGUACGGUCGCAAGAUUAAAACUCAAAGGAAUUGACGGGGUCAUAGCUGUUUCCU
Molecule: ribosomal RNA, 587 nt
Filed under: uncultured bacterium
Lineage: Bacteria
Description: partial 16S ribosomal RNA
Rfam family: Bacterial small subunit ribosomal RNA
Source: RNAcentral